CCUACGUGCAAAAACGAGGUCACAGUGCUAGUGGACUUAUUAAAAAGCGGAUUUUAUACUUAUAUUUAAGCGGCGUAAUGGAUCAAUUGGUAAAAACGCUGAAGCAGCGGAUGUGCCGACCAAAGGGAUUUCAUCAUGUUGUUUCUUGUGAUAUUUUAACUCAAAAAGAGACGAAAGUGAGUGGAUCUCAUUCAUUUCCUCCCUGUUUGAUGGACUUGAGAGAGGAACACUUUUCAAAGAUAGUACACUUGACCGACUGCGCAGGCUGCUGAGGAGGGUGUGGAGGGUCCUGUGCCGCCGUGAACCCUAUUACUAUGAAAUAAGGCUUUCAGUGGAGGAAACAUCACCAAGCUCUGUUCAACCAUGGUAAGAGGACAAUGGAGAAGAUGAUGGAAUGUAGUUCAGUUCAUUGAGUCAUUUCAGAUGACUAAUUUCUACAAUUUGGUGACAAAUGAAACGGCAGAAUACUUGGGCUGAGAAAUACAACAUGAAAUUAUGAAAGUUUAAGACAUUGAAGAUGAAUCUGUCUGCUUUCAAACCAUCUCUGCCUUACAGAAGCCCCGUGUCCACCGGGUUGGUUUUUCCUGUGGCCAGUGUAUGUUUUCAAUUGUUUCCAAUGGAAGCACUUCCCUUUAAAAAACGCCAGCUCUUGUCUUCCCUUGAGCUGGUGCUUUGCGUUUUUAUCUGUAUGCAGAGAGUUGAAAAGUGUUCAACUUAGGAAAGAACACUCAGCUCGUCAAUGUCACUUCACCUAGCCGUUCAAUUACAGUGGUGGAGUGGCGGGACAAAUACCACAUCAACCAACUGAACAAUUGUACAAUGACCGAUAAACAAAACAGAGGUAUUACAGCAACCGAAAUACUUCAUAGUGAACCGGCGGUUUUGAGCUGCGUUUCAACGCUUUGGUGGACUCCUGCCUUCUGCCAUUUAUGGAUGCGUACGGGUUCAUGAACUGAUGGCGGUGUCUUCAUGUUUGGAAAAACUACUUGGACCAUCUGACCUUCAAUCUUCGGCCAAGAUACACACACAACUUCCAUCUGUGUCUCCAUGCGGACGUGCAGAACUCUUGCAAGCCUAGAGUUUGAUCCUGUGUGUCUAAAACAGACCUGAGGAGGAUUAUGCCCAUGCACUGCUAUAUUAUGAGCACUCACACUGACUGUGACUUAAAGCAAUGAAGUCAUUGAAUUUAGGAUAAAUGAGUGAUAGUGUCGCAGUUAUGGGCACGUCUAGUGACUGAACAAAUUUGAGUAAAACUUGAUGCAAAUAAGCUUUGAUGCAGUGGCUCUGAUUGGCUGUUUUACAUAGCCAAAAAGUGCACUACAAGAAAAACAGAAAAUGAAAAUGAACAGAAACUACUGCUACCUGCUGUUACAUAAAUUUAUCUCACACAGGCAAAGAACAAAUAUGCCACAUGUCAGUCCGUUUGGUGUGCCAGGGCAACUUUGGACCCAGACGCAGCCAGCACGCAGGCAAUGUAAGUUUGGUUGAGUUCGGUUUGGUGUGUUCCUACUGUAAAGCUGCGGUCACACUAGACUUUGAGCAUGCAAGUAUUUGUCGGACUUUGUCAGGUUCAUCGAUAUGAUCUUUGGCUUCGUUCAUUUGUGCUUUUCGGUAGAGAGAAAGGUCAUGCAGGCUUUGAUAUAGCGUUUUUAACUGGUCACAACCAAAGAUUGUCAAAAAUAUGGACGUCGUGUCCGUAAAGUCACCCAUAGGUUUGUAAAGAGCUUCUUUAAAGCCAAUAGUUGGUGGAGCUCGUUACAGCGGAUCACUCGCAAAACUGAGGUGAAACUGAGGUGGCUGUUUGCUGAAACCACGCCCGCCUAGCUCAACAGUAGGGAUUGGAAGUUCGGAUCAUUUUUAUGAUUCUGGUCUUUAAAUCUCGUUCAUCAAAAUGAACGAAUCUUUUUUUUAGUCAUUUCGUUCAUUUGAAUAUGAUUACGUGUUAUUUAACAAACUCCCCCAGAACGACCACUUAUGCAAACAAUUUUGACAUUUCUAACAAGUAAGGAGAAAUAAAAAUGCUUAUUUUAUUAUUUCUUGACAGGCACAUAAGCUCUGCAACCUGCACAAGAGACUGAAACCAUUAGCUUAACUCAGUGUUUCUCAAACUUUUUCAGCCCAAGGACCACUUUAUCUUCCAUUUUUUUUCUGAGGACCACCUAACAGAAUCCCACUCUAACACUCCCCCAAAAAACCACAAAAUAGGAAGGAUAAGCUAAAUUUAAGUUUAAUAUGCAACUGUUUCAAGUCAAAAACGAUGUUCAGAAAUUAUUAUAUGAAUUUUUUUUUUCCGAAAAAGUCAAUGUGA
Non-coding RNA from Paramisgurnus dabryanus, 2308 nucleotides. Lineage: Eukaryota; Metazoa; Chordata; Actinopteri; Cypriniformes; Cobitidae. The record is from RefSeq and is a predicted model, not a curated record.